UACGGAAGGCAGCAGUGGGGAAUAUUGGACAAUGGGCGAAAGCCUGAUCCAGCAAUGCCGCGUGAGUGAUGAAGGCCUUAGGGUUGUAAAGCUCUUUUACCCGGGAUGAUAAUGACAGUACCGGGAGAAUAAGCUCCGGCUAACUCCGUGCCAGCAGCCGCGGUAAUACGGAGGGAGCUAGCGUUGUUCGGAAUUACUGGGCGUAAAGCGCACGUAGGCGGCUUUGUAAGUUAGAGGUGAAAGCCCGGGGCUCAACCCCGGGAACUGCCUUUGAUACUGCAUGGCUUGAAUCCAGGAGAGGUGAGUGGAAUUCCGAGUGUAGAGGUGAAAUUCGUAGAUAUUCGGAAGAACACCAGUGGCGAAGGCGGCUCACUGGACUGGUAUUGACGCUGAGGGUGCGAAAGCGUGGGGAGCAAACAGGGAUUAGAUACC
RNAcentral lists this ribosomal RNA (432 nucleotides) under uncultured bacterium. Its description in RNAcentral is "bacterial SSU rRNA". It matches the Rfam family "Bacterial small subunit ribosomal RNA", at positions 340 to 786 of the family's 1533-position model. The record is from RNAcentral.